GAUGAACGCUGGCGGCGUGCCUAAUACAUGCAAGUCGAGCGACCGGACGAUAAGCUUUCUUCUCUGCUGUUAGCGGCUGACGGGCGAGUAACACGUGGAUCACCUUCCUCUUUUACUUGGAUAAUUUCGUGAAACCGGAUCUACUACCGGCUCAUAUUUUGUACCGCAUGGUUCAAAAGUUCAUGACGCUCUUCCUGUCUCUUAUAGCUGGAUCCGCGUUGCAUUAUCUAGUUGGUAAGGUAACGGCUUACCAAGGCUACGAUGCAUAGCCGAUCUGAGAGGAUGAUCGGCCACACUGGAACUGAGACACGGUCCAGACUCCUACGGGAGGCAGCAGUAGGGAAUAUUGGACAAUGGGCGAAAGCCUGACGGAGCAACGCCGCGUGAGUGAAGAAGGUCUUCGGGUCGUAAAACUCUGUUAUUAGGAAAGAAAAGAAGUAGAAGAAAAUGUGGACAUCUUGACGGUACCUAAUGAGAAAGCAACGGCUAACUACGUG
Molecule: ribosomal RNA, 497 nt
Filed under: uncultured bacterium
Lineage: Bacteria
Description: partial 16S ribosomal RNA
Rfam family: Bacterial small subunit ribosomal RNA
Source: RNAcentral